AUUGAACGCUGGCGGCAUGCUUUACACAUGCAAGUCGAACGGCAGCGCGGGCUUCGGCCUGGCGGCGAGUGGCGAACGGGUGAGUAAUGCAUCGGAACGUGCCCAGUCGUGGGGGAUAGCCCGGCGAAAGCCGGAUUAAUACCGCAUACGACCUUAUGGUGAAAGCGGGGGACCGAAAGGCCUCGCGCUAUUGGCGCGGCCGAUGUCGGAUUAGCUAGUUGGUGGGGUAAAGGCUUACCAAGGCGACGAUCCGUAGCUGGUCUGAGAGGACGACCAGCCACACUGGGACUGAGACACGGCCCAGACUCCUACGGGAGGCAGCAGUGGGGAAUUUUGGACAAUGGGGGCAACCCUGAUCCAGCAAUGCCGCGUGCGGGAAGAAGGCCUUCGGGUUGUAAACCGCUUUUGUUCGGGAAGAAAUCAUGUGGGCUAAUACCCCGGGGGGAUGACGGUACCGGAAGAAUAAGCACCGGCUAACUACGUG
RNAcentral lists this ribosomal RNA (484 nucleotides) under uncultured bacterium. RNAcentral's name for it is "partial 16S ribosomal RNA". It matches the Rfam family "Bacterial small subunit ribosomal RNA", at positions 28 to 507 of the family's 1533-position model. The record is from RNAcentral.